AUUGAACGCUGGCGGCAUGCCUUACACAUACAAGUCGAACGGCAGCACGGGAGCAAUCCUGGUGGCGAGUGGCGAACGGGUGAGUAAAGUAUCGGAACGUGCCCAGUCGUGGGGGAUAACGUAGCGAAAGUUACGCUAAUACCGCAUACGAUCUAUGGAUGAAAGCGGGGGAGCGCAAGACCGCGCGCGAUUGGGGCGGCCGAUAUCAGAUUAGGUAGUUGGUGGGGUAAAGGCUCACCAAGCCGACGAUCUGUAGCUGGUCUGAGAGGACGACCAGCCACACUGGGACUGAGACACGGCCCAGACUCCUACGGGAGGCAGCAGUGGGGAAUUUUGGACAAUGGGCGCAAGCCUGAUCCAGCCAUGCCGCGUGCAGGAUGAAGGCCUUCGGGUUGUAAACUGCUUUUGUACGGAACGAAAAGGUUUGGCUUAAUACGUUGGACUCAUGACGGUACCGUAAGAAUAAGCACCGGCUAACUACGUGCCAGCCGCCGCCGUAA
This 500-nucleotide ribosomal RNA is filed under the name uncultured bacterium. RNAcentral describes it as "partial 16S ribosomal RNA". It matches the Rfam family "Bacterial small subunit ribosomal RNA", at positions 30 to 523 of the family's 1533-position model. The record is from RNAcentral.